AAUCAUAGAAACAGAAAAAAGUGAGUCAGAAGGGGUCUCCAAGGCCAUCUAGUCUGACCAUUGGCUCCAGCCGGCUCCAUUCAUGUGAUCUCCCACAUGUGGUUGUCCAGACUUUCCUUGAUCACCCUCACUGAUGGGGUCUCAACCACCUCCC
Long non-coding RNA from Varanus komodoensis (Komodo dragon), 154 nucleotides. RefSeq lists it as uncharacterized. The transcript is spliced from 3 exons. The record is from RefSeq and is a predicted model, not a curated record. NCBI's taxonomy places the organism in Eukaryota, Metazoa, Chordata, Lepidosauria, Squamata, Varanidae.